GGGGGCGAUAGGUCUCGACAGGGGCUAGGAUCGCCGUACGGAUGCAUGCCGGGCUCUCUACGUCGCUCGUUAAAAAGCGUAGAAAACCACAACUGCCAACUCUAACGAGUUAGCUCUCGCGGCCUAAGUUAUCUUAGGCGUCUAGCGAGCGUCUCGCCGCAAGUCGCUCAAGCGCGCGGAGUGAGGCGUGACCCAUUUGAGCUGGCCUACCCUCUGUGUCUCAGGGAGGGCGGGCGAGAUAAAACUGGGCUAGUCCCGGGCGGGGUCUUCGUCGCUUCACUGACCCGCCGGGGGCGAACGCGCCGGAGUUAAGACCGGCAGCAGAGAAGCGUCUAAGCAUGUAGAUUCCGCCGGUAUCGGCCUUUGGACCCGAGUUCGAUUCUCGGCGCCUCCAUUC
RNAcentral lists this transfer-messenger RNA (397 nucleotides) under Acidobacteriota bacterium. It matches the Rfam family "transfer-messenger RNA". Rfam says of the family: Bacterial tmRNA, also known as 10Sa RNA or SsrA, is named for its dual tRNA and mRNA-like properties. The record is from RNAcentral. Lineage: Bacteria; Pseudomonadati; Acidobacteriota.